This 492-nucleotide ribosomal RNA is filed under the name uncultured bacterium. Its description in RNAcentral is "partial 16S ribosomal RNA". It matches the Rfam family "Bacterial small subunit ribosomal RNA", at positions 29 to 507 of the family's 1533-position model. The record is from RNAcentral.
AGUGAACGCUGGCGGUAGGCCUAACACAUGCAAGUCGAACGGCAGCACAGUAAGAGCUUGCUCUUACGGGUGGCGAGUGGCGGACGGGUGAGGAAUACAUCGGAAUCUACUUUUUCGUGGGGGAUAACGUAGGGAAACUUACGCUAAUACCGCAUACGACCUACGGGUGAAAGCAGGGGAUCUUCGGACCUUGCGCGAUUGAAUGAGCCGAUGUCGGAUUAGCUAGUUGGCGGGGUAAAGGCCCACCAAGGCGACGAUCCGUAGCUGGUCUGAGAGGAUGAUCAGCCACACUGGAACUGAGGCACGGUCCAGACUCCUACGGGAGGCAGCAGUGGGGAAUAUUGGACAAAGGGCGCAAGCCUGAUCCAGCCAUGCCGCGUGGGUGAAGAAGGCCUUCGGGUUGUAAAGCCCUUUUGUUGGGGAAGAAAAGCAGCAGGUUAAUACCCCGCUGUUCGGACGGUACCCAAAGAAUAAGCACCGGCUAACUUCGUG